GUGGGGCCAAGUGGACUCUGGCCCCUCUGGAGAGUGAAACCCUGCCUGCCACCCCUGAGGUGCCCAAACUUAGAUAAAUGCUCUCACAUGGUAUUUGUCUUUCUCUGUCGGACUCACUUCGCUCAGUAUGACCAUCUCUGGACCUAAAAUCCUUCCUCAUUUGAUUCCACCUUGGUGUCUGCAUCUCAGGGCACAGAUUAACACCCCCAGGCCAAGAAGAGGGUACACGACUUGCGACACCACAGAAAACUUGUGACACCACGUGAAGAAGCAGAUACAAGACUCCAGAUGUCUUCUCUGAAGCCAGACUUUAAAGUGAUUUUCAAAAAUCGUAAAAUAAUGC
This is a non-coding RNA of Vicugna pacos (alpaca), 343 nucleotides long. The record is from RefSeq and is a predicted model, not a curated record. NCBI's taxonomy places the organism in Eukaryota, Metazoa, Chordata, Mammalia, Artiodactyla, Camelidae.